This is a non-coding RNA of Caenorhabditis elegans, 143 nucleotides long. NCBI's taxonomy places the organism in Eukaryota, Metazoa, Nematoda, Chromadorea, Rhabditida, Rhabditidae. The record is from Ensembl.
GUGGGGGUGGGCGCUGCGUUUUUCUGAUGAGGUGCGCGCAGCUCGAUUUUUUCUUUACAUCUUGCGCCCCCGGGCGACAGAUAGAGAUGAUGCCCGUUGCUGCCUGCCGCCACUGCCGCUGCUGCUGCCAUCGACAGUUUCUU